Molecule: microRNA precursor, 60 nt
Filed under: Sarcophilus harrisii (Tasmanian devil)
Lineage: Eukaryota; Metazoa; Chordata; Mammalia; Dasyuromorphia; Dasyuridae
Description: Sha-Mir-12475-P8_pre stem-loop
Source: RNAcentral
AAACGCUCUGAAGCCUCAUUGUUGGUAUUAUUCUUGGAACAAUGUGUCUCAGAGUGUUAU